GGCGGCGCGUCGCCGUCAGGAGCGGCCGUUGCUUCGGGCGCGGCUGGCGCGUCGGAGCUCGGUUGGGCGUCGGCGUUCGAUUCCGCCGGCGGCGUCGC
RNAcentral lists this transfer RNA (98 nucleotides) under Lacipirellula limnantheis. Its description in RNAcentral is "Planctomycetes bacterium I41 tRNA-Pro". The record is from RNAcentral. Lineage: Bacteria; Pseudomonadati; Planctomycetota; Planctomycetia; Pirellulales; Lacipirellulaceae.